Molecule: ribosomal RNA, 504 nt
Filed under: uncultured bacterium
Lineage: Bacteria
Description: partial 16S ribosomal RNA
Rfam family: Bacterial small subunit ribosomal RNA
Source: RNAcentral
AUUGAACGCUGGCGGCAGGCCUAACACAUGCAAGUCGGGCGGUAACACAGGGAGCUUGCUCCUGGGUGACGAGCGGCGGACGGGUGAGUAAUGUCUGGGAAACUGCCUGAUGGAGGGGGAUAACUACUGGAACCGGUAGCUAAUACCGCAUAACGUCGCAAGACCAAAGAGGGGGACCUUCGGGCCUCUUGCCAUCAGAUGUGCCCAGAUGGGAUUAGCUAGUAGGUGGGGUAAUGGCUCACCUAGGCGACGAUCCCUAGCUGGUCUGAGAGGAUGACCAGCCACACUGGAGCUGAGACACGGUCCAGACUCCGACGGGAGGCAGCAGUGGGGAAUAUUGCACAAUGGGCGCAAGCCUGAUGCAGCCAUGCCGCGUGUGUGAAGAAGGCCUUCGGGUUGUAAAGCACUUUCAGCGAGGAGGAAGGCGGUGAGGUUAAUAACCUCAUCGAUUGACGUUACUCGCAGAAGAAGCACCGGCUAACUCCGUGCCAGCCGCCGCUGUAA